This is a long non-coding RNA of Chinchilla lanigera (long-tailed chinchilla), 724 nucleotides long. RefSeq lists it as uncharacterized. The transcript has 3 exons. NCBI's taxonomy places the organism in Eukaryota, Metazoa, Chordata, Mammalia, Rodentia, Chinchillidae. The record is from RefSeq and is a predicted model, not a curated record.
UCACAAUGAUGUCAUAAUCCUGUGGCUAAAAACCAAGGUAAACAUUAAGAAUAACCAAUGAAGUUCUGGAAGCCUCAGACUCCUUCCCAGUAUUACAUCUGCAACAGUUCUUACACAUUCCCUGUGCUGCAGCAAAACUGCUCUUCUCAAAGACCAAGCUUCAGUGUCCCCCCUUUUUGCUGUAGAGGAAGGGCUGCGUCACUCUGUGUUUUAGCCCUGCCUUCAAAGCCUCCUGCACUGAUCAUCUUCACAACGCUAUUCCCGGUUAUGCGACAUCGACAAUCAGAAGCUUACCUUUCCCUGAAGAUCUAUAGCAUUAAGCUCUUGCUUCAAGAAUAGGGUGAGAACACCAGGGUGACAGAUGUCAAGGCAGCUGGCUGCAGAGCCACUUGGAAUACCAACUGCGUAGUGUCAUUCCAUUUUUGGAGUUGAGCAUUGCUGUUCUAUUGGGACAGCCUUCUGGAUGAUGAGAUACACACCUAGUCCAGUCACUUAGUCCCUGUCAACUGUCAACCAUUGCCAGACAUGUGAAUACGACCCCCGCUGGAUCAGACAUCCUCAGAUGGAUCUGCCUAUUGACUGCAGGCGCCUGGCUGACCCCAGCUGUUAUCAGCCUAGCACACAUCAGCAGAACUACCAAGUUAACUCAUAAAUGCUUGUGGUUUUAAAGCACUGGGUUUUGAAACAGUGACACAGCAUUUGCUAGCUGAUUAAAGAAUUUUAA